UUCCCCCUCCCUCCCAAAAACCUCAAAAGAGAACAAAAAUCCAACCUGCAUUUUCAAAUUUUCACAUUUUUUUUUCUCUUUUCCUUUAUAGCAUCACCAUAAUAAGUCCAACCAAAGUAGAAGAUUCCUUUGUCCCAUGAAUUCCCAAGAAUCCCAACCCGGCCACCAUCAACCCCACCCCCAUCUUCACUCCCUACCCCACCAACUCCACCACCCGCACCACCAACAACCCCACGGAAUAAUGGCGGCGCUGCCUCAACAACACCACCACCACCAACAACACAAUUCGUAUGGUUUGCCUGAGAACGUUAAUAAUAUGCAACAGCAACUACAGCAACAACAAACACAACAAACACAACAAAACCUCGAUUUGCUAUAGAUUACAGUGAUGACGGGCCGUCGUCUCCUAGGGGUUCUUCCCCGGCAAGGAAGAAACGAGGGCGGCCAAGAAAGUACUCUCCUAGUCCUGAUGGUAACAACAUAGCUUUGGGCCUCUCUCCCACUCCACUACUUACUCCCAUUCCUGAUUCUGGUGCUGCUGGUGGGCCCGCCACUCCCUCUUCCGAAAACUCCUCUAAAAAGCUCAGAGGCAGACCUCCUACCCCUUUAAAGAAACAGCUCGACGCACUAGGUAC
Molecule: long non-coding RNA, 635 nt
Filed under: Nicotiana tabacum (common tobacco)
Lineage: Eukaryota; Viridiplantae; Streptophyta; Magnoliopsida; Solanales; Solanaceae
Description: long non-coding RNA (NTAB_LNC005084)
Source: RNAcentral